Molecule: ribosomal RNA, 253 nt
Filed under: uncultured bacterium
Lineage: Bacteria
Description: partial 16S ribosomal RNA
Rfam family: Bacterial small subunit ribosomal RNA
Source: RNAcentral
UACGAAGGGGGCUAGCGUUGCUCGGAAUCACUGGGCGUAAAGGGUGCGUAGGCGGGUCUUUAAGUCAGGGGUGAAAUCCUGGAGCUCAACUCCAGAACUGCCUUUGAUACUGAAGAUCUUGAGUUCGGGAGAGGUGAGUGGAACUGCGAGUGUAGAGGUGAAAUUCGUAGAUAUUCGCAAGAACACCAGUGGCGAAGGCGGCUUACUGGUCCGGUUCUGACGCUGAGGCGCGAAAGCGUGGGGAGCGAACAGG